GGCGGCAGGCCUAACACAUGCAAGUCGAACGGUAACAGGAAGCAGCUUGCUGUUUCGCUGACGAGUGGCGGACGGGUGAGUAAUGUCUGGGAAACUGCCUGAUGGAGGGGGAUAACUACUGGAAACGGUAGCUAAUACCGCAUAACGUCGCAAGACCAAAGAGGGGGACCUUCGGGCCUCUUGCCAUCGGAUGUGCCCAGAUGGGAUUAGCUAGUAGGUGGGGUAACGGCUCACCUAGGCGACGAUCCCUAGCUGGUCUGAGAGGAUGACCAGCCACACUGGAACUGAGACACGGUCCAGACUCCUACGGGAGGCAGCAGUGGGGAAUAUUGCACAAUGGGCGCAAGCCUGAUGCAGCCAUGCCGCGUGUAUGAAGAAGGCCUUCGGGUUGUAAAGUACUUUCAGCGGGGAGGAAGGGAGUAAAGUUAAUACCUUUGCUCAUUGACGUUACCCGCAGAAGAAGCACCGGCUAACUCCGUGCCAGCAGCCGCGGUAAUACGGAGGGUGCAAGCGUUAAUCGGAAUUACUGGGCGUAAAGCGCACGCAGGCGGUUUGUUAAGUCAGAUGUGAAAUCCCCGGGCUCAACCUGGGAACUGCAUCUGAUACUGGCAAGCUUGAGUCUCGUAGAGGGGGGUAGAAUUCCAGGUGUAGCGGUGAAAUGCGUAGAGAUCUGGAGGAAUACCGGUGGCGAAGGCGGCCCCCUGGACGAAGACUGACGCUCAGGUGCGAAAGCGUGGGGAGCAAACAGGAUUAGAUACCCUGGUAGUCCACGCCGUAAACGAUGUCGACUUGGAGGUUGUGCCCUUGAGGCGUGGCUUCCGGAGCUAACGCGUUAAGUCGACCGCCUGGGGAGUACGGCCGCAAGGUUAAAACUCAAAUGAAUUGACGGGGGCCCGCACAAGCGGUGGAGCAUGUGGUUUAAUUCGAUGCAACGCGAAGAACCUUACCUGGUCUUGACAUCCACGGAAGUUUUCAGAGAUGAGAAUGUGCCUUCGGGAACCGUGAGACAGGUGCUGCAUGGCUGUCGUCAGCUCGUGUUGUGAAAUGUUGGGUUAAGUCCCGCAACGAGCGCAACCCUUAUCCUUUGUUGCCAGCGGUCCGGCCGGGAACUCAAAGGAGACUGCCAGUGAUAAACUGGAGGAAGGUGGGGAUGACGUCAAGUCAUCAUGGCCCUUACGACCAGGGCUACACACGUGCUACAAUGGCGCAUACAAAGAGAAGCGACCUCGCGAGAGCAAGCGGACCUCAUAAAGUGCGUCGUAGUCCGGAUUGGAGUCUGCAACUCGACUCCAUGAAGUCGGAAUCGCUAGUAAUCGUGGAUCAGAAUGCCACGGUGAAUACGUUCCCGGGCCUUGUACACACCGCCCGUCACACCAUGGGAGUGGGUUGCAAAAGAAGUAGGUAGCUUAACCUUCGGGAGGGCGCUUACCACUUUGUGAUUCAUGACUGGGGUGAAGUCGUAACAAGGUAACCGUAGGGGAACCUGCGGUUGGAUCACCUCCUUACCUUAAAGAAGC
This 1517-nucleotide ribosomal RNA is filed under the name Shigella flexneri. RNAcentral's name for it is "bacterial SSU rRNA". It matches the Rfam family "Bacterial small subunit ribosomal RNA". Lineage: Bacteria; Pseudomonadati; Pseudomonadota; Gammaproteobacteria; Enterobacterales; Enterobacteriaceae. The record is from RNAcentral.